CAGCCGCCGCGGUAAUACGUAGGGCGCGAGCGUUAAUCGGAAUUACUGGGCGUAAAGCGUGCGCAGGCGGUUCGUUAAGACAGAUGUGAAAUCCCCGGGCUUAACCUGGGAACUGCAUUUGUGACUGGCGAGCUAGAGUAUGGCAGAGGGGGGUAGAAUUCCACGUGUAGCAGUGAAAUGCGUAGAGAUGUGGAGGAAUACCGAUGGCGAAGGCAGCCCCCUGGGCCAAUACUGACGCUCAUGCACGAAAGCGUGGGGAGCAAACAGGAUUAGAUACCCGUGUAGUCCCUGUCUCUUAUAC
This 301-nucleotide ribosomal RNA is filed under the name uncultured bacterium. Its description in RNAcentral is "partial 16S ribosomal RNA". It matches the Rfam family "Bacterial small subunit ribosomal RNA", at positions 509 to 807 of the family's 1533-position model. The record is from RNAcentral.